RNAcentral lists this ribosomal RNA (450 nucleotides) under uncultured bacterium. Its description in RNAcentral is "partial 16S ribosomal RNA". It matches the Rfam family "Bacterial small subunit ribosomal RNA", at positions 354 to 796 of the family's 1533-position model. The record is from RNAcentral.
GUGGGGAAUUUUGGACAAUGGGCACAAGCCUGAUCCAGCAAUGCCGCGUGCAGGAAGAAGGCCUUCGGGUUGUAAACUGCUUUUGUACGGAACGAAACGGUCCUGGUUAAUACCCGGGGCUAAUGACGGUACCGUAAGAAUAAGCACCGGCUAACUACGUGCCAGCAGCCGCGGUAAUACGUAGGGUGCAAGCGUUAAUCGGAAUUACUGGGCGUAAAGCGUGCGCAGGCGGUGCUGUAAGACAGGCGUGAAAUCCCCGGGCUUAACCUGGGAAUUGCGCUUGUGACUGCAGUGCUGGAGUGCGGCAGAGGGGGAUGGAAUUCCGCGUGUAGCAGUGAAAUGCGUAGAUAUGCGGAGGAACACCGAUGGCGAAGGCAAUCCCCUGGGCCUGCACUGACGCUCAUGCACGAAAGCGUGGGGAGCAAACAGGAUUAGAAACCCGAGUAGUCC